AGGAUUAACGCUGGCGGCGUGCCUGACACAUGCAAGUCGAACGAGGCCGCAAGGCCGAGUGGCGGACGGGUGAGUAACACGUGACCAACCAACCUCGAAGUUGGGAAUAGCUCUGCGAAAGUAGGGGUAAUACCGAAUGUGGCCCAGGGCAGGCAUCUGCCUUGGUCUAAAGAUUCAUCGCUUCGAGACGGGGUCGCGGCCUAUUAGCUUGUUGGUGGGGUAACGGCUCACCAAGGCGAUGAUGGGUAGCUGGUCUGAGAGGACGACCAGCCACACUGGGACUGAGACACGGCCCAGACUCCUACGGGAGGCAGCAGUGAGGAAUCUUCCGCAAUGGGCGAAAGCCUGACGGAGCAACGCCGCGUGUGGGAUGAAGGCUCUAGGGUUGUAAACCACUGUCGGAGGGGACGAUCGUGACGGUACCCUCCAAGAAACGCCCCGGCUAACUACGUGCCAGCAGCCGC
Molecule: ribosomal RNA, 464 nt
Filed under: uncultured bacterium
Lineage: Bacteria
Description: SSU rRNA
Rfam family: Bacterial small subunit ribosomal RNA
Source: RNAcentral